Echinostoma caproni is the source of this 45-nucleotide non-coding RNA. The record is from Rfam. Lineage: Eukaryota; Metazoa; Platyhelminthes; Trematoda; Plagiorchiida; Echinostomatidae.
GCAUCGCUGACGAGUCCCAAACAGGACGAAACAGCUGUCCAGUGC